GUACCUUCAAGCUAUGCUUGGUGUUGGGUGUUUGUCCUCUCCCCUGCGUUUGGACUCGCCUUAAAGUCAUUGGCAGCCUGUAUAUUGGUUUUGAGCGCAGCACAUUUUGCGUCUUGCAUCUAGUAAUACUAGCAUCCAUGAAGCCCAUUAUCAC
RNAcentral lists this unclassified non-coding RNA (154 nucleotides) under uncultured Ophiosphaerella. Its description in RNAcentral is "partial internal transcribed spacer 2". The record is from RNAcentral. Lineage: Eukaryota; Fungi; Ascomycota; Dothideomycetes; Pleosporales; Phaeosphaeriaceae.